GAAACGGCCCUACCCUUAUCUCCCUUCACUGACUCUCUUUUCAGACUCAGCCUGCCUGCACCCAGGACUCCACUGGAAAUCGGACUGUUCAACUCACCUGGCAGCCACUCCCAGAGCCCCUGGAACUCUGGCCCAAGGCUCUCUGACUGACUCCUUCUUGGCUUAGCGGCUGAAGACUGAUGCUGCCUGAUCGCCUCGGAAGCCCCGUAGACCAUCACGGAUGCCGAGCUUUAGGUAACUCUCACAGCGGAAGUGUCUUUAUGAGAAGGGGAAAUUAGAAGGUAGACACACGCAGAGAAAAGACCAUGUGAAGACACGGGAGAAGACCGCCAUGCACUACCCAAGGAAAGAGACCUCAGAAGAUACCAACCUUGAUGAUCUUGAACUUCUAGAUCACACUCUGCAGCAAGAAGGCUAAAAUGAAACAAUAACUUGUCUGGCUGAUUAGAUUUCCUUGGAGGUGAACUUUCACAAAUAGCCAAAAAUGUUUGCAAGUAAAGAGUAUAACUGGGCUUUUAAAUAACUCCUCUAAAAUCAAAAUGAAGAACAAAAGCUUCCUUCCUUUCAGAAAGUAAUCUGCAACCACUCUCAUGCAUUUGUGUGCUUUUUAAAAAAAAUAUUGAGGAUGGAAGGGAAGCAUGGUACAUGCAUAGAAUUACACAAUUUUAAUGACUUGAGCCCAAAAGACAGUAACAAAACAGAAGAAUUGGCAACUCCAUAGAGACUGCAUUUCAUAACUGGAAUUCGUCACCUAUGGAAGCAGACAACAGAGGAUAAUUAAAUGAAUGAUCACAUAAAAUGAACUGAAGUCACUGAACACUUAAACAGCUAUCGCAUGUUAAUCAUAAUUUGUAUCAGCUCUCAUUCUUUGAUCUUGGGAUGACUUUCUUCUGCAUAAUAAUGAGGUUAUAUUACUUGUGUUGACAUCAUUUAAAGAAGUGAAUACAGUAGACUGCAACUGGAUUUGAAUCUAGAUUUUUUUCUUCAACACAGUCAUCUAGCUUUAAGAAAUCAUUUAAAAGGUUGAAUGUGAAACAGCUCUGACCAUUGUAAGAGUAAACAUAAAAUGUACAAAGAAUUAUUUUAAUGGUUUGAUUAUCUGUACUUUAGAGAUAGUUAUUAUAUCCCAUCUUUGAUUUGUGCAUGUUCACUUAACUCCCUUUAAAUGUCUCGACCACAGCUCAUGUUACUUUACUAUCAUUUUUGGGUAAUAUUUUUACUUCUCUGGAGUUUUAACCAUUUUAAUGACAAAAAGUUCACAUAUGUAUGAAAGCAAUUAAAUAUAUUAGAUUUGUAAGAACUUACAAAUAUGCAGUACUUACAUAUUACAAAUAAUGCAGUAAUUUGUUAUGACAUUUUGAGAGAAAUACACUGUCAUCAUGCUUAAUUUGAUAAGGAAAGUGAAAGUUGUCUUAUAUCAUCACAAUUAAAUAAUGUUGCUUAAAGUUGUAAAUAUGUGACAUUGGAAAAGUAACUGAUGAAAGGUAUAAAUGAUUACAUAAAUAUGCAUGUAUUUUAUAAACAAUAAAAACUAAUUUUAUGCACAAA
This is a long non-coding RNA of Homo sapiens (human), 1548 nucleotides long. NCBI's taxonomy places the organism in Eukaryota, Metazoa, Chordata, Mammalia, Primates, Hominidae. The record is from Ensembl.